AACGUAGGAGGCAAGCGUUAUCCGGAUUUACUGGGCGUAAAGCGCGUGCAGGCGGUUCGGCAAGUCGGAUGUGAAAGCUCCUGGCUCAACUAGGAGAGGUCGUUCGAUACUACCGGACUAGAGGGCAACAGAGGAAAGUGGAAUUCCCGGUGUAGUGGUGAAAUGCGUAGAUAUCGGGAGGAACACCAGUGGCGAAAGCGACUUUCUGGGUUGCAUCUGACGCUCAGACGCGAAAGCUAGGGUAG
This 245-nucleotide ribosomal RNA is filed under the name uncultured bacterium. Its description in RNAcentral is "partial 16S ribosomal RNA". It matches the Rfam family "Bacterial small subunit ribosomal RNA", at positions 524 to 768 of the family's 1533-position model. The record is from RNAcentral.